RNAcentral lists this ribosomal RNA (464 nucleotides) under uncultured bacterium. Its description in RNAcentral is "bacterial SSU rRNA". It matches the Rfam family "Bacterial small subunit ribosomal RNA", at positions 329 to 794 of the family's 1533-position model. The record is from RNAcentral.
UCCCAGACUCCUACGGGAGGCAGCAGUGGGGAAUAUUGCACAAUGGGGGAAACCCUGAUGCAGCGACGCCGCGUGAGUGAAGAAGUAUUUCGGUACGUAAAGCUCUAUCAGCAGGGAAGAAAAAAGUCCUUUGGACUUUGGACGGUACCUGACUAAGAAGCCCCGGCUAACUACGUGCCAGCAGCCGCGGUAAUACGUAGGGGGCAAGCGUUAUCCGGAUUUACUGGGUGUAAAGGGAGCGUAGACGGAUAAGCAAGUCUGAUGUGAAAAUCCGGGGCCCAACUGCGGGACUGCUUUGGAAACUGCCCGGCUAGAGUGCUGGAGAGGUAAGCGGAAUUCCUAGUGUAGCGGUGAAAUGCGUAGAUAUUAGGAGGAACACCAGUGGCGAAGGCGGCUUACUGGACUGUAACUGACGUUGAGGCUCGAAAGCGUGGGGAGCAAACAGGAUUAGAUACCCCUGUACU